This is a long non-coding RNA of Thrips palmi, 1147 nucleotides long. RefSeq lists it as uncharacterized. NCBI's taxonomy places the organism in Eukaryota, Metazoa, Arthropoda, Insecta, Thysanoptera, Thripidae. The record is from RefSeq and is a predicted model, not a curated record. The transcript has 2 exons.
UAGCCCGUCACUCGCAGGGCCAGUGGCAGCAGCUCGCGGGCCUAGGACGCCAGCAUUCAUCCUCUCCUCUCCGCACCGCCAGGCCACCCGUUCGCCCUCUCGACUGGCAUCGCCAGCUGCCGGCACACCCACCGCCACUUCACUGCAGCAGGAUGAGCGGGCCAUACGACCAGCAGCCGCAGGGGUACUACGCGUACCCGCCGCCCCCUCCCGCCAUGGGGCCGCCGCCGCCGCCGCAGGCGUACGGCUACCCGCAGCCGGGGCCGCCGCCGCCCGUGGUGGUGGUGCAGGAGCGCGACGACGGCGACGACGGCCCUGACUGCAACCUGCUCACGUGCGGGCUGCUCGCCGGCUGCUGCUUCUGCUGCUGCCGCAUGUGCUGCUCGGACUAGGAGACCGAACGUUUUGGGAUGCGCGUAAUGAACUUGAUGAUGUUGCAGUGUUUGCUACAGUGUGGACUUGAAGCGUGGCCACGUCCUUGUGAUAGUCAUUGUGAUGGAUCAGUGCGGUAUGUCUAGGGUGAGCUGGCUUGCCCUCGGGCUUACCUAGGCCGCGAGCAGGCACCCGUCCGUCAGCACCAGGCUGCCCCUUGGCAUCUCAUUGGUAUGCCAUUAGUAUGCCAUUAGUGUCGUCAAGCAACCGCUGCAUCCUAGAAACAAAAAUAGCAGUCCACGGACAGAAGGGCUUGUCAUUGCAAGUCGAAAAUAUUGGGUAGAUCAAGAUUCCGCGGCGUAUUGUGUUCCGCCAAACCGGACGUGCGGUUCCUAGAACCGCGCGGCUGAUAAGGCAAAGCCGUGAUAAUGGCCGCACCUCGUAUCGACUUUUCGCUGGUGGCGCAGCUCACAGGAUGCGGGGAACCAAUAAAAUAUUUCGGACGUGCCUCUUUAAUUUAGUCGUAUUGUAAUUUCGAUUAGGAUUAGAAUGCUACACUCGAUCAUUUGGAUGUAGGUUGUAUAGUAAAGAUGAUAAGAACAGCAGGCUCGCUCAAGAGUGCACACACCAAGGUGACUGAGGCGGAAAAAACCGUUGCGGGGGAACAGUAGGAUUGAAUGGGUGAUCAUCAGUUUUGUAUUAAGUGCGAGAAAUCGCUUGUAUCAACAAUGUAAAAAAAGAGUGGAGAUUAUAGAAAUACCAACGAAAUCCUUAA